AUGAACCUGGACACCGAUUUCACAUCCGCAUUGCUCCACGAUUUGAAGCUCGAAGAUCCUUUGCUUCCUCCAACCACAUGGGAAUCCAUCCCUUCCGAAAGCGGCCAUUUCCAUCUUCCGUCAUCCAAUCCUCUCUCCCUCUACCAUGCCUCCUCCGAAUUACAGGAGGCAAGUUUGGUGCGAUUGGCGAUGAAUGCAUUGCAAGGACUUGAAUCGUCGCUGAUUAGUGUCCAGAAGCUUUCGGCUGCGUUUCGGUCCGACGCGGCGGAUAGGACAUUUCAUCAGGUCCCGAGCCUGUGGAGUAGGUCUUCGAGCACUCAGGCUCUGGGGAAUAUUCUCCACUCCAUAGGCUGCUCAGGUUUGCUGGUCUUUCUUCUUGGAAAAUUUGUGGAUCACUUUACCAAUUUAGAUGUCGAAAGUGGAAGUAAAGAAAGAGAGUCUGCUCCGUAUAGUCUUGUUAAUCAGGCUUUUGUGGUUGCGGUGGGGAAGGUUGUGGAGGGUUACAUGUGUGCUUUGGAUACAUUGUAUGCUUCUGUGGGGUUGAGGCGGGGCUCGCCACCUUCUGCGGUGGGGUGUCUCAACAGUGUGGUCCAUUCGGAAGUUAGUUUGUUGGAGGUGUAUUUGCACACUAAGGAAUUGAGGACUCAGAUUGAAUCCCUUGCAAACAUAUGCAACUUGUAUCGAUUUUCUGAUUGCUUCGCAGCAUCUUGUUUUGAUGAGUUGCUUGCGGAAGCCAAAUCUGAGUUUUGUAAUUUCUACAGAGGGGGUGACCUACUCACAUAUCUGUAUACUCAAUUGCAGGUUGCUGAUCCUGCUCAUCGUCCUGUACUAAAAUUUCUUUUUCUUCGUGCAUGUGAACCAUACUUCGGAUUUAUAAGAUCAUGGAUAUUCAAAGCUGAGAUUAGCGAUCCUUAUGAGGAAUUUUUGGUUGAAUAUGUUCAGUCUCAUGAUCCAUAUGUUGAAGCCAGUAUCUCUACUGACUUCCCAUUGGCAACUAUCAGGGAACGAGAUGGAGUUCCUGUUCCUUGUUUUCUGAAGGACAUCUUGAUUCCACUUUUGAGAGCAGGUCAGCAGCUGCAAGUUCUAGCAAAAUUGCUUCAAUUGUGUACUUUUGUUGCCCCUACGAACCAUACUUAUGAGACUUUUCUUCCUUGCUGGAGUGGGUUUUCAAGCAAUUGUCCAUCGUAUGCAUCUCCAUUGACAUUCAGCAAAGGAAAUAUAGAGGCCAUGGUACUUUCACGGGAAUGUUAUUACAAAAAGAUGCAAGACAGACUCCAGAUUCUUUUGACGGAAUUAGAGUUCAAAUUUCAACAGGUAGUUCCACAAGACGCGCUUGUUCUCUUGGAUCACAGUGGAAGGAGUUCAGCCAUCCCAGUUUUAGUCCCAUCGGAUAAAAGUUAUAUUGAAAAGGAGUCACAAGAGGUGGCUGAUGAUUUGGAUUCGGACGAGUUAAGUACAAGAGACUACACUGCAGAUGAAUACGAGUCAUCUGAAUGUUCAAGCUCAACUAUGUCUGAAGAGCAAAACGUGCUCAAGCGGACACCUGAGUUUCCUAGUCACAUCAUAGUGGAAGAACAAAAGUAUUUCUCUGCUUUAAGCUUCUCAAUAGGUAUUCCGGUUGAUACUGUGCAAAAGCCCCAUGGAUGUGCAGAUUCAUGUCUUAUAGACAAGAUUAGUAGUUGUGAAAGAGAAGAUGCCUUUGGGCAUUCUCAUCAUAAAGGCAUACUUAUGAGUCAGAUGUUAGACGUUCAAUUUUCAGAUUGUCUCUCUGAUAAGGAUUGGCCUGAUUAUUUUGAGAAACAGUCUGUCAUUGAUAUAGAGUACAAAGAAGGUCUGAAGUCAAGUCCAACAGACUUUGCCUCAAAGGUGAAUGAAAGAAUAACGGGAGCCUUAAAGGAAGGUUCAUCAUAUUUUAGAAAAAGAAUCAUGGAUAAUAAUGCAUCAAUAGAAGAAGCCUUUGGCAAGAUUGAAUCUCAAAAGGCCAGUAAUACUUCUGAUACAUUUGCAUUGCGACAGUGGAAGGUUAAUUACCAUAACAAUUUUCUCAGCAUGAACCCAAUGUUGACAAAAAAUAAUUUCCUUCACCUAACUUCCAGGCCUGAAGAGAGAUGCAAGACAGACCAUGGGGAUUCUUUGGCUUACUUUGAUUUCUCUCACAUAAAAGAUCCUUGUAAGGUGUUUCCGAUGAAGGUUCCUGUAGGGCUUAUGGACUAUAGGGCCUCUAAUACCAAUGGCAGGAGUGAUCACCAUGUAAAAGAAUGUUCUUCCGGAGAUGAUGUUCUGAUUGGAAGAACAAUAGUAUCUGACUUUCUUCCAUCUUCAGAUUUGAGGGGCCACAGUGAAGGAGAUGCUACUUCAACAAAUGUUUCUGGUGGUAGUUGUUGGGAGAGUUUGCUUGGUAGAUUUGGUGACACUGUCGUAAAUAGACUUGAAGAUCACAGAGAAAGCUUGGCGGCCAGUUUUGACAUGCCACUUGAUUUUAUUAUUGACAAAUGCCUUCUGCAGGAAAUCAUGCUCCAAUAUAAGUAUGUCAGCAAGUUAACUAUUAACUUGCUUGAAGAAGGAUUUGAUUUGCAAGAACAUUUGCUGGCUCUGCGUCGGUACCACUUCAUGGAAUUAGCAGACUGGGCAGAUUUGUUUAUUAUGUCUCUUUGGCAUCAUAAAUGGAGUAUUACACAGGCAGAUCAUAGACUUUCUGAAAUUCAAAGUUUUCUUGAGUCAUCGGUUCAGAGGUCAUCAUGUGAACGUGAUCGUAAUAAGGACAGAUUAUUUAUGUACUUGAAAGGACAUGAUGCAGUGCCGCUUUCAGCAUCUGCUAUAGGAGUCCAUUCCUUUAACUUCCUUGGUUUGGGAUAUCGAGUAGACUGGCCCAUCAGCAUUGUUUUGACUCCUGGUGCAUUGAAAAAAUAUGCCGAGAUAUUCAGUUUCUUGAUACAAGUGAAACUUGCUCUGUUUUCGUUGACUGAUGUAUGGCGCCAAUUGAAGGUGUGGAUUAUUUUUUUUGAACAUAAGGAAUCCUUCUAAUAGAGAAAAUUACUAACUGAAAAUUGUAUUCAGUGAUCAUCUCUCUGAUCUAUCUCCAGGCAUCAGGUCAAUCACUUUGUUUCUACAUUGCAGCAGUAUGUGGAGUCGCAGCUUUCACAUGUAUCAUGGUGCAGGUUUCUAUACUCACUUAAGCAUAAGGUCAAAGAUAUGAUGGAUCUUCAGUCUGUGCACAUGGCAUAUCUCUCAGAUUCACUUCACAUAUGUUUCCUCUCUGAUGAAACAAAACCUAUAGCUUGCAUCAUUGAGAGCAUUCUGCAGUGUGCUCUAGACUUCAGGUCUUGUCUUACUGGGGGAGUAUGGAAUGCUGGAACAGGUCAAGGGAAUUUAGUUGCAACACUCUCUGGAAUCAAUAUAUCCCAGGUUAUUGCCAUAAAGCGAACCUUUGACAAAAAUAUGAAAGAAUUGCACUCCUGUUACCUCAAAUCACCUAAACAUGGUGAGUUUGGACUCUCUCACUUCUGGGAAUACCUGAAUUACAACAGGUAUUACUCAGAUGCUGCUUCCGUGGUCCACAGCUCAGUAACAUGAGCCAGUACUGAUAAAUCGGGAUCUGUAUAUGCUUGAAGCAUCCCAUUGGAUUAUAAUGAUUCAAGGGGAUGUGUGAAAUUUUGGGUUGUAGCAUAGCGUUCUCCGAUUCUGUUGGUCUUGUUGACAAGGUAGGAGACUCAUGUUCUUGUGUGCCAGUUUUGCAUAGCAAUGAGUGUAAAUAUAUAUGUAUAACAAAGAAAACAUUUUCUGGUGCCAACUUUCCCUGUGAUGUGAAACUUCAAUAGCAUGUCUGCACGAGUGUGAGUAUAUACUAAUGCAACUGGACUCUGUACCUUUCAUCACAAGUUGAGAAAUUUAUGAGACACAGUCGAUCCUAUCCUCACCUUGUUACAACCUUCAUCGUUACUAGUAACGCCUAGUCUCCUGUAACCUUUUAG
RNA transcript from Fragaria vesca subsp. vesca, 3971 nucleotides. RefSeq lists it as uncharacterized. The transcript has 13 exons. NCBI's taxonomy places the organism in Eukaryota, Viridiplantae, Streptophyta, Magnoliopsida, Rosales, Rosaceae. The record is from RefSeq and is a predicted model, not a curated record.